GCACACUAUCCCUGAGGCCCUGAAGCAUGCACAUAUGGUGACACACUGCUCUGUUCCAGCAAGCACUAGGUAUUUUUUUUUUAUGUGUAGCUCAUUCUUCAGGCUUGCAGAAACUUGCUGGGCAUCAGCAACAGCACUGGCAGAGAGGAAGUAUGGACAGAUGGCUCUUGGCUGAACCUCCUGCCUGUCAAUGGCUGGCAAUUCCUCUUCUAUCUCUGGCGUUUCGGCAAGAACAGAAGGAGCACUGCCAGCUCCUACGUUUAGUGUUGCUGGCUGCAACCUGCCAGGGACAACAUAUGGUCUGCAGUACCUACAGAGGGAGUUGGACAGGAGAUGGCUGCCGGUCCCCACUGAGAUUCAAGGCAUGCCUUAUUCUGAUGUUUGGCAGCAGUUGAAAUGCCACACAGCAAAGUGUCUUGGAGUGCUCCUAAGAGGACACUCCAGUCAGCCAGAAGAGCAGUGAAGACAUCAGGGAAUCAAAAGUACUGAGGCUGUGCUCUGUCCUAUUUAACACCAAUACACCAAAAGCCUUUGGGAACCCAGAUGCAUGUGUUUCUAAUGAAAACAUGACCCUGUGAAUUAUGUAGUUGCUCUCCCUGUAGCUGAAGAGAACCAUGAUACAGCAUGGACAGGGCAGUGUCAUUUUCUUGCAGAAUGAUCUAGCCUAGCAGUUCACAUCCUGCUUUGCGAUAUGUAUAGGUCCUGGGAAUUUGUUGACUUUACACACAAGAUCAGAAGACAGAGCCUUCUCUUCCUUAGGAUGUGGAGGGACUGCUACAUGGGUCCACAAUGAGUGUUUCUCAGCAACACAGCAAUGCUUUGGAGCUUCAGGAGAUCCUUACCUGGAAUAUGUUAAGAUACAUACAAUGGUGUUACAGGAAUCUUAAGUUUAAGAUGUGGCCCUGUGGCUCUAGUGGAAUUGAUAUUCUAGGGUCUAUCAGUGAGACCAGGUAAGUCUGGUCUCUUGUCUGUAUCUUGGAUGGACCCCCUUGCAUGUCUACACAGAUGUUCCUGGAGAUUAAACUCCUGUCAAUUUGAAUGAAAAGGGGAAAAAAGGAAGACAUUGUUCCUCAGUGAAAAUUAUCUGACUGUACUCUUCCCACAGGAAGAGGAAACCUGCCAAAUUUAGGGAAUUUUUAUAACAGAUGUGAAAUCUGCACCUGACCACAAGGCAGUAAUGGCCAUAACACAAGCACAGAGAUAAAUACUGCUGCAGGGAUAACAGACCUGAAAAAUAUCUCAGCUGAGAAUGGUUCAAUUUGCACAUAGCUAAUCGAUAGAAAGAGCAGAUCAAUAACAACAACAGAAAUACUUCAUAUUAUGAGUAAGAUUCUGUGUCAAUUAAAAGUGUGGCUGCAGAUCUCAGGCACAUACCUGGAACAGCUUUUUAAUUAAAUGGCAUCAAGACGCUUAGAGCAA
Long non-coding RNA from Pogoniulus pusillus (Red-fronted tinkerbird), 1419 nucleotides. RefSeq lists it as uncharacterized. NCBI's taxonomy places the organism in Eukaryota, Metazoa, Chordata, Aves, Piciformes, Lybiidae. The record is from RefSeq and is a predicted model, not a curated record. The transcript is spliced from 2 exons.